This 253-nucleotide ribosomal RNA is filed under the name uncultured bacterium. RNAcentral's name for it is "partial 16S ribosomal RNA". It matches the Rfam family "Bacterial small subunit ribosomal RNA", at positions 524 to 776 of the family's 1533-position model. The record is from RNAcentral.
UACGGAGGAUGCAAGCGUUAUCCGGAAUGAUUGGGCGUAAAGCGUCCGCAGGUGGCUAUGUAAGUCUGCUGUUAAAGAGUGAGGCUCAACCUCAUAAGAGCAGUGGAAACUACAUAGCUAGAGUGCGUUCGGGGCAGAGGGAAUUCCUGGUGUAGCGGUGAAAUGCGUAGAUAUCAUUUGGAACGCCAAUGGUGAAAACAGGUUGCUGGGAGUGUGCUGACGCUGAGACACGAAAGCCAGGGGAGCGAACGGG